GGGGUUGUAGCUCAGAGGUAGAGUGUUUGCUUGGCAUGUGAAAAGCCCGAAAUUCAAUCCUCCGCAACUCCA
Daphnia magna is the source of this 72-nucleotide transfer RNA. It matches the Rfam family "tRNA". Rfam says of the family: Transfer RNA (tRNA) molecules are approximately 80 nucleotides in length. Their secondary structure includes four short double-helical elements and three loops (D, anti-codon, and T loops). The record is from Rfam. Lineage: Eukaryota; Metazoa; Arthropoda; Branchiopoda; Diplostraca; Daphniidae.